CCUACGGGUGGCAGCAGUCGGGAAUUUUGGGCAAUGGGCGAAAGCCUGACCCAGCAACGCCGCGUGAAGGAUGAAAUCUUUCGGGAUGUAAACUUCGGAAGAAUAGGAGUCGGUACUAUUUUUAAGGUCCGGCUAACUACGUGCCAGCAGCCGCGGUAAUACGUAGGGACCAAGCGUUGUUCGGAUUUACUGGGCGUAAAGGGCGCGUAGGCGGCGUAAUAAGUCACUUGUGAAAUCUCCGGGCUUAACUCGGAGCGGCCAAGUGAUACUGUUAGGCUAGAGUGCAGAAAGGGCAAUCGGAAUUCUUGGUGUAGCGGUGAAAUGCGUAGAUAUCAAGAGGAACACCUGAGGCGAAGGCGGGUUGCUAGGCUGAACUGACGCUGAGGCGCGAAAGCCAGGGUAGCAAACGGGAUUAGAUACCCCUGUAGUC
RNAcentral lists this ribosomal RNA (430 nucleotides) under uncultured bacterium. RNAcentral's name for it is "partial 16S ribosomal RNA". It matches the Rfam family "Bacterial small subunit ribosomal RNA", at positions 338 to 795 of the family's 1533-position model. The record is from RNAcentral.